Molecule: transfer RNA, 76 nt
Filed under: Cereibacter sphaeroides
Lineage: Bacteria; Pseudomonadati; Pseudomonadota; Alphaproteobacteria; Rhodobacterales; Paracoccaceae
Description: Rhodobacter sphaeroides tRNA-Met
Rfam family: tRNA
About the family: Transfer RNA (tRNA) molecules are approximately 80 nucleotides in length.
Source: RNAcentral
GGCGAGGUAGCUCAGCUGGUUAGAGCACACGACUCAUAAUCGUGGGGUCGGGGGUUCAAGUCCCCCCUCGCCACCA